GACGAACGCUGGCGGCGUGCUUAACACAUGCAAGUCGAACGGAAAGGCCUGCUUUCCCUUGUGGAUUGCGGGUACUCGAGUGGCGAACGGGUGAGUAACACGUGAGUGAUCUGCCCCCAACUUGGGUAUAAGCAUGGGAAACUGGGUCUAAUUCCAGAUAGAACUGCAGGGUGGAGCAUGUGGUGGAAAACGAUCUUCUAGUGGUUGGGGAUGAGCUCGCGGCCUAUCAGCUUGUUGGUGGGGUAAUGGCCUACCAAGGCGGGGACCAGGAGCCGGCCUGGGGGGGGGGACGGUGACAUUGGGACUGGGUUCAGACCCAGACGCCUACGGGAGGCAGCAGAGGGGACUAAUGGACAAUAGGCGGAAGCCUGAUGCAGCGACUGCGCGAGGAAGAUGUCGGGCUUCGAGUAGUAAACUCCUUGCGACCGCGAGGAAGCCACGUGGCUAGAAGGGUGGUGACGGUAGUUGAAGAAGAAGCAACGGCUAACUACGUG
This 494-nucleotide ribosomal RNA is filed under the name uncultured bacterium. RNAcentral describes it as "partial 16S ribosomal RNA". It matches the Rfam family "Bacterial small subunit ribosomal RNA", at positions 28 to 507 of the family's 1533-position model. The record is from RNAcentral.